Diceros bicornis minor is the source of this 603-nucleotide long non-coding RNA. RefSeq lists it as uncharacterized. The record is from RefSeq and is a predicted model, not a curated record. NCBI's taxonomy places the organism in Eukaryota, Metazoa, Chordata, Mammalia, Perissodactyla, Rhinocerotidae. The transcript has 3 exons.
GCACGCCCUGCCCUGCUAAAGUCAGCUCAGUUGCCAGGCUGCAGAGAAUCCAGUCACCAAUCUAUGCAGGCCCACACGUUGCCUGAGGGCUUGUUGUUAGGUGGGGCCAGUCUCUAGGGUGGGCUGCCUGCCCUGGCUGAGCUGGAUUAAAUCGGUGCUCUAGUGGGUGGGGCAGACCCUGGGCUAGCAGGCCCCAGGGAGAACUCCAAUGGCGUCUGUGUCAGCACACUCACACCAGGCCACAACAAUGGGCGCCGCCAAUGUCCCAGUCCCUGGAGAGGUCUCACCUCUCACCGAGAUGCACUCGGGGCCUAUUAGUGGCUGAGUCAAUGAGAUGCCCAACAGAAUCUGGCUGCACACAAACAAGAACCUGGGCUGAUAGAUCCCACUCCACCCAUCUGGAUGUUCAUAGAAACCUUAGAGGGGGCCUUGGAUCCUAAUCGGAUAUGGAAUUUCAGGUAGAAUGAUUAUGAGUUGAAGAAGAUGGGAAGAGCUAGAAGACCUUUAAAGCCCUAUCUUGUCAUCUAUGAUGCAUUGCCUUCAAAAUAACUUAUUGAGUAGUUCUCUACUUGCCCCAAAAAGUUAAUAAAACUUUUAUUAAUA